RNAcentral lists this ribosomal RNA (774 nucleotides) under uncultured Neocallimastigales. Its description in RNAcentral is "partial large subunit ribosomal RNA". It matches the Rfam family "Eukaryotic large subunit ribosomal RNA", at positions 26 to 637 of the family's 3401-position model. The record is from RNAcentral. Lineage: Eukaryota; Fungi; Neocallimastigomycota; Neocallimastigomycetes; Neocallimastigales.
CGCAUCUGUGCAUGCAGCAUAUCAAUAAGCGGAGGAAAAGAAACUAACAAGGAUUCCCCUAGUAACGGCGAGUGAAGCGGGAAGAGCUCAAAUUUGAAAUCUUAAAGGGUUUCCCUUUACGAAUUGUAGUUUAAAGAAGUGUUUUCUGUUGAGGUUUUGGUAAAAGUUCUUUGGAAUAGGACAUCAUAGAGGGUGAGAAUCCCGUAUUUGACCUUUACUUUCAACUUUGUGAUACACUUUCAAAGAGUCGGAUUGUUUGGGAAUGCAGUCCAAAAUGGGUGGUAAAUUUCAUCUAAAGCUAAAUAUUGGCGAGAGACCGAUAGCGAACAAGUACCGUGAGGGAAAGAUGAAAAGAACUUUGAAAAGAGAGUUAAACAGUACGUGAAAUUGUCAAAAGGGAAGCGUUUGACACCAGUGUUGUUUUUCUGAAAAUCAAUUAAAGAACUGUUUAUGCUAAGCUGUUUAGACUUUAUCAGCUAACUGUUUAGUUUUGAGCUUUUCUUUAAUGCACUUUUCAGUUAACAAGUCAACAUCAAUUUCUUUUGCUGUAAAAAAGCUUGAGGAAGGUGGCUUGAGACUCGUCUUAAGUGUUUAUAGCCUCUUGCCUAUGCAGUCGGAGAGAUUGAGGUCUGCAGCGUAGAUCCUUCGGGGCUAAAUGCAUUUGUGCUAAGUUAUAGCAUUUCAUAGACAACUUGUUGACUAUGAUUUGUCUUGUAGCUUACUCGCUUAUGUUAUUUUACCUACGCUUAGGAUGUUGACAGCAGUAUAGACUGU